GCCGCUGUAGCUCAGUGGUAGAGCAGCGCAUUCGUAAUGCGCGGGUCGUAAGUUCAAAUCUUAUCAGCGGCUCCA
Molecule: transfer RNA, 75 nt
Filed under: Negativicutes bacterium
Lineage: Bacteria; Bacillati; Bacillota; Negativicutes
Description: tRNA-Thr
Rfam family: tRNA
About the family: Transfer RNA (tRNA) molecules are approximately 80 nucleotides in length. Their secondary structure includes four short double-helical elements and three loops (D, anti-codon, and T loops). Further hydrogen bonds mediate the characteristic L-shaped molecular structure. tRNAs have two regions of fundamental functional importance: the anti-codon, which is responsible for specific mRNA codon recognition, and the 3' end, to which the tRNAs corresponding amino acid is attached (by aminoacyl-tRNA synthetases). tRNAs cope with the degeneracy of the genetic code in two manners: having more than one tRNA (with a specific anti-codon) for a particular amino acid; and 'wobble' base-pairing, i.e. permitting non-standard base-pairing at the 3rd anti-codon position.
Source: RNAcentral